This is a long non-coding RNA of Cornus florida, 610 nucleotides long. RefSeq lists it as uncharacterized. The transcript has 3 exons. NCBI's taxonomy places the organism in Eukaryota, Viridiplantae, Streptophyta, Magnoliopsida, Cornales, Cornaceae. The record is from RefSeq and is a predicted model, not a curated record.
UGCCAAUGUGAUUUCAUUCUCUCUUUCUCAAAAUUUCCACUUUUGAUUCUUAUAAUGGAAUUUGUGUUGUAGUCAUCUUUAAGGUCUAUGAUUCGGAUGGCAAUGGCAAAGUCACAUUCAGUGAUAUGUUGGAUGUUUUGCGUGACUUGACAGGGCAAUUUAUAUCUGAACAACAAAGCAAGUUCUGACCCAUGUUCUUGAGGAAGCUGGAUACAAAACGGAUUCUUUGUUAGUUGUGUCUGACUUUAUGAAGAGAUUCAGGCUGCUGGGAGUACAUAUGGAACUUAUUUUCGAGUUACAACAUAUGGGGGAAUCUUAUGGUGGGGGCGUUGGAUGUGUAAUUGAUGGAUGUCCACCUCGGCUUUCUAUCUCAGAAGCUGAUAUGCAAACAGAUCUUGGCAGAAGGUAUUUCCAUGCAUGGUCCUCAUGGACUCACGUUUGAUAUUACCCUAUUUCUAAAAGCUUAGUUAGGCAAUUUGUCUGGUAUUCUGUCCCUACAAAUUUGAACCAAGUAUUUCGGAACAUUAUCUGCCAAUUUAUGCCAGAAUUAGAAUCAUUUUUUCAACAGCUGCUACUGCUUUCUAUCAUGCUCUCUCUUGUCUCCGCUCCU